RNAcentral lists this ribosomal RNA (1217 nucleotides) under uncultured Rhizaria. RNAcentral's name for it is "SSU rRNA". It matches the Rfam family "Eukaryotic small subunit ribosomal RNA", at positions 577 to 1805 of the family's 1831-position model. The record is from RNAcentral.
CGGUAAUUCCAGCUCCAAUAGCGUAUACUAAAGUUGUUGCAGUUAAAAAGCUCGUAGUUGGAUUUCUGCGGGGACGGAGCGGCCGGACGCAACUUGCGUCUCGAGCUAGCGCUUUCCCCGCAUCCUGCCGCGAACCGUGCUACCAUUAGUUUGGUGGCGCUGGGGAUCGGCUCGAUUACUUUGAGAAAAAUAGAGUGUUCAAAGCAGGCCACACGCCUUGAAUAAGUUAGCAUGGAAUAAUGACUAAGGACUUUGGUUCUUUUCGUUGGUGUUCGGGACUGAAGUAAUGAUUGAUAGGGACAGUUGGGGCGGUCCGUAUUCCAAAGCGAGAGGUGAAAUUCUUAGACCUUCGGAAGACGAACAGCUGCGAAAGCGUUCCGCAAGGAUGUUCCCUUUGAUCAAGAACGAAAGUUGGGGGAUCGAAGACGAUCAGAUACCGUCGUAGUCUCAACUAUAAACUAUACCAGCUAGGGAUCGGCCAACGUUUAAUUAUUCGACUUGGUCGGCACCUUAUGAGAAAUCAAAGCAUCUGGGUUCCGGGGGGAGUAUGGUCGCAAGGCUGAAACUUAAAGGAAUUGACGGAAGGGCACCACCAGGCGUGGAGCCUGUGGCUUAAUUUGACUCAACACGGGAAAACUUACCAGGUCCAGACAUAGGAAGGAUUGACAGAUUGAUAGCUCUUUCUUGAUUCUGUGGGUGGUGGUGCAUGGCCGUUUUUAGUCGGUGAAGUGAUUUGUCUGCUUAAUUGCGUUAACGGACGAGACCCCAGCCUGCUAAAUAGCGCGGCCGAGCUUUGCUCGGUACGAGCUUCUUAGAGGGACCCUGAUGCGCGAUAGCACAAGGAAGUUUGGGGCAACAACAGGUCUGUGAUGCCCUUAGAUGUUCUGGGCCGCACACGGGCUACACUGGCGCCUGCAACGAGCAUAUCAGCUGGCCCGAGAGGGUCUUGGCUAAUCUUUGGAACCGGCGCCGUGCUUGGGAUUGACCAUUGCAAUUGUUGGUCAUGCAACGAGGAAUGCCUUGUAAACGCGAGUCAUCAGCUCGCAUUGAAUACGUCCCUGCCCUUUGUACACACCGCCCGUCGCUCCUACCGAUGAAUGUUCCGAUGAAAUUUUCGGAGAGCGCCGGAGAACGGGGCUCUGCCCUGCAGAACUGGAGGCUCAAAGUCACUUAAAUCUGAACAUUUCGAGGAAGGAGAAGUCGUAACAAGGUAGCCG